This is a long non-coding RNA of Neogobius melanostomus (round goby), 2427 nucleotides long. Lineage: Eukaryota; Metazoa; Chordata; Actinopteri; Gobiiformes; Gobiidae. The record is from Ensembl.
CAAAGACAUGUCCUGGAAAACAAAGAGCUUCUCGAUUGUCUUAGCCCGCCAGAUGUCUGCCAUUCAUCUGCAUUAAAGAGUAACUAAACGGGCGUGCCAAAGCCUUUCCCUACCCACAAACAAAAGUCAAAAAGUGCUGUGAAAGAGGCGGUCUCUGAAGUUUGGGGGUGACAUGCGAGGGGUGAGUGUGUGGGCCUUUGCAUUGGCACAAUCACAGCAGACAGAUUACGUGGGAGGGACUUGGUUAUAUACCACAGGUACAGGGGCAGGACAAUUGGCAGCACCUGAUGACGAUGUGUGGAGCUGGUGCGGCUUAUGACGUUCUGUGGAGGCCGUGGACACGUCUCCAGCCAAUCAGGAAAUUCUAAUUUAGUAGCAGAGUUUACCCUGAAGGGGGCGCAACCCAUUCGUUUUCAGGCCAAAGUUAGGAUUUUACACAUGUUUGCGCUAUAAUGUCAGAAUAAUGUCAGGGACCAGUAGACAACACUAUGAGACACCCAUUGAGACAGUUUAUCAGUAAGAAAAAACUUGAUUUGGUGUUUAGUUGCUCUUUAAGCACACCAGGCGGUCAGGCCGUGACAUCUCACACCGCAUCACCCUUCCUGCUGUGUGACUUGGUCAAUUAAGAAUGAGGAGUCACGUGCCGAUUUGGGGGGGGCUCUGAGCCUGUCGGCCAUGUUGGAAGCCGAUUAGGGGCACGCCCCCAGAAUUUCACGCAUUCCUCAUAUUCCAGAGCACUUUAAAUGUUGCGCAUUUAUGUUUUCGGCGAGACCGAGACAGAUCUACGAAUACAACGACGAAAAGGAAGAAAGUAAAGCAAUGCAAAGAGAUAAGGCGAAAGAAAAGGGACCUGACUAGAACAAGCUCAUACCAAGCGCUAAACAGCAGUAUUUGGAGAAGCUUGCGGACGUCAAAAACAUCGACCCAUACUUCCAAGCUUUUUCCUUUAUAAUGUGAACACUCUGCAGCUUUUCUGCACGAUGGUUGGCACACGAGCGAGUAAAAGCAUCAGAGCCGCGAAAGAGAUCAAGACGGAACCGGAGGAAGAAGAAAUACGCGCUGAUGCGCCGCGCAAAAGAAUAAAUACUAAAGACCAAGAUCGAGAAACUACAACCAGGAGUCAUGUCAACAAUGAAUCCGAGAGCAGAGAGACACCGAAGAAGAGAAGGCUCGUCGCGGAGGUGGAGGUGAAGAAAGAAAUCAAAACCGAAUCAGAGGGCGAAGAGUGGUCAGAGGAAGAGGAUGAAGAGGAGGGAGAGGAGUCGGGCAACAGUGACCCCGACUACGACGCCGAAGAUGGCAGCCGUUCCCAAAAGCGCAGCGUAUCCAGAAGUCAUUGCGCCCUCUGCUGUUUGAAGCGGUUUCACGACAGCCAAUCUUGGACAGUUGUUUUCGGUUUGGAAGAACAGCACAACAGAAUCUUAUUAUUUAGCUAAUUUGAUGUCAUUCUAAAUGAUCCCUUGUUUCUUUACUCUGAUUGUAUUCAUGCAUGAAUUAUGAUCGGCUGCUUCAGGAUUUCUUUUUAUUACUCUUUAGGCAUGAAAAGAAAUGAAUCACUUUCAUGAAUUCUUCAAGGAGUUGGUGAUAUGUCCACUAGGGUGGACAACGCACAUUUGAAUAACUGAGAAAAUAUGUUUUUAAGAAACUAUUAAGAAAAAAUAUUGUAAACACUAUACAACAAUCUUUAAAUGAACAGGCCACCGGUUUUCCAUACUGAGAUAUGUUCUUACCUGAGCUUAGACGAGUUGAUGCGUACCUGUCUGGUCUUUGUGCGUGCAUUCAGUCACGCAAAACGGCCAAAGAUGUUGUUAGCAUUUGGCCUCUCCCAGUAUAUUCCUAUGGCUCCAAACGGGGGUAAGUUGGAAGCGAACAUGCUCUUCCACAGGCACAAAGGCCAGACAGGUACGUAUCAACUCGUCUAAGCUCAGGUAAGAACAUAUCACAGUAUGGAAAAAACGGUGGCCUGUUCCUUUAACAUUGUGUUUACAUAUUUCGAACAUAUUCCAACAUUUAACCAAAGGGGGAAAAAAUACACUUUUUAAAGUAAAAUCAGUUGUCACCAAUCUUUUUUCUCCCCUCCCCGGUGCACGCUGUAGUCAGGCUGCACCGCCCAAAGCAAUGGCCUCAACAAUAUAUCAAAACAAACAUAAAUGCCCACCUGACCCUCAGCCUUUUGUCAGUGAGCUGUGGCCAGUGUCUCCAGGACCAUUUAGAGCCAAAACAAAAAGUUGCAGCAAUACUAUAAAUUGUACUCAAAAUAUAGCUAGCGAUGCAGGAUGUCCAAUUUAGUGGACACUUGAUUAAUCACAAUUUCCUCAAAUCACAAAAUCAAUACUUGGGUAUUGUAACAAUUAUAUUCCUCCUCAGGUGUUGCUUGAUGUCCCCAUAUUUACUUAACCUGCAAGAGUCUCCUAGAAUAGAAGGGAU